GAGUUUGAUCCUGGCUCAGGACGAACGCUGGCGGCGUGCUUAACACAUGCAAGUCGAACGGAAAGGCCCUGCUUGCAGGGUACUCGAGUGGCGAACGGGUGAGUAACACGUGGGUGAUCUGCCCUGCACUUCGGGAUAAGCCUGGGAAACUGGGUCUAAUACCGGAUAGGACCAUCGUUUAGUGUCGGUGGUGGAAAGUUUUUCGGUGCAGGAUGAGCUCGCGGCCUAUCAGCUUGUUGGUGGGGUAAUGGCCUACCAAGGCGUCGACGGGUAGCCGGCCUGAGAGGGUGGACGGCCACAUUGGGACUGAGACACGGCCCAGACUCCUACGGGAGGCAGCAGUGGGGAAUAUUGCACAAUGGGCGCAAGCCUGAUGCAGCGACGCCGCGUGGGGGAUGAAGGCCUUCGGGUUGUAAACUCCUUUCAACCAUGACGAAGCGUAAGUGACGGUAGUGUAGAAGAUGCCCU
This 468-nucleotide ribosomal RNA is filed under the name uncultured Corynebacterium sp. RNAcentral's name for it is "bacterial SSU rRNA". It matches the Rfam family "Bacterial small subunit ribosomal RNA", at positions 9 to 494 of the family's 1533-position model. Lineage: Bacteria; Bacillati; Actinomycetota; Actinomycetes; Mycobacteriales; Corynebacteriaceae. The record is from RNAcentral.